GCUCCGUGGGACGUCACGUCACUGUGGUCUCGUUCUUGUGCCAUUAGGACAACGGUCAAAAUUUGAACUUAUAAAAGAAAAAAACAAGGAAAAACUGAAGAAGAAAAAAAAAUCAAGCUAAAGACUCUUAGCUGUAGAGUGACACCAUGCUCUCCUAGUAUCCACACCUUUUUCGGUUUGGUUUUCUUUUAUUUUAAAUUUAUAAUUUUUUUUUCAGUAGCAGGCCUAGGCCUACUGUUCUUCAACAGUCAUAUCUAAAGUAGCGCUAUAUGGUACCAAAUCUCUGGAUUACAACAAUGUUUCUUUCCUUUUUUUUUUCUUGAAAGUUAUUUUAUUUUGCACUUGCAGGAGUGUGAGGUGGAGACGUAUACGUCUGUGCUAUAGUGUGUGUGUGUGUGUGCGCGUGUGUGUGCGCGUGUGUGUGAGGGGGAGGCUGAGGCCGUCAUCAAGAUUAAAUACAGGGUCUGUUUCGAUCAAGCCAUUUGAUUGACAUUUACACUGAGUUAGUGAGAGAUGAGGUCUACAUGAGAAGUGCCUGAAGUAGGAUUCAGUCUAACAUGGACACAGGGUACAGCACACACCAGUCACUGGGAGGGGGGGACGGACGGACACACACGCCCCCCAUCCCCUUGUGCUACGUGGCUGUGUUCAGACACUACCAAUACCUGGCGCAAGCUUAACAUGACCGGCCACGAGGAAACGAUGUUAAAACGGCUGUGGCUUACAGACGGUCUCUGAAGGUCUUUUACCUUUCAGCGCCGUCUUAUGCAGCCAGGGCAGGGUGAAGUGAUGGCAGGAAGUGACAUAGUGGGUGUGGCGUACAUGUGGACACCGUGUGGUGAGAAACUGGACCGGACUCUGAAGCCCAAGCAGUGAAGUCCUCUGGGAUACAUGUUCACUUGGGUACGACAUGGACUGGGGGACCUGCUGUCAAUCAGUUGGUGUUUAUCAGUGCAGUUCAGUGGGAAUCUAGGGAGGUUGGGGCAUGUGGAUUGGAAGCAGAGAGAUGCUGGCACAUUUGUGUUAGUGCAAGACAUGGUGGGGGCAAUUAUGUACUGGACAAAAAAAAAGUAAUGGAAACGGUCCCAUCACCGUGAGCAGAUGCUUAGAUGGCGUGGUCCUUCACGCACGUACUCAACUGGUGUUCAUUUUCUGCUUCAUAAACGGUGGCUUUACUGUGGGUAGGGGGAGGUCUAAUGCAGAA
Molecule: long non-coding RNA, 1204 nt
Organism: Clupea harengus (Atlantic herring)
Lineage: Eukaryota; Metazoa; Chordata; Actinopteri; Clupeiformes; Clupeidae
Source: Ensembl